GUGACUGUUAUUCUGUACGGGAAGACGCGUCUGGGCAUUUUCCUGGGGGCUCCGCUUUUUCUAGCGGAGUGCGGGGGGAGGAAGGAGGGAGCGAGAAGGGUGGGGGCCGGGGUGCGCCGUCUUUGCGGGAGGGGAAGACAGAAGUGACACGGCAGGGUGUCCGCGGGAAGCGUGCAGCAAUAAUGCCAACAAAAUAUUGGUAUCCUGAAAAUAUUUCUCAUCCUGAGUGCAAGUGUCAGACUGAAUCCAGUUUGUCUAGGCAUACAGAAACUGUGGGCACACUUUCACUACUAUGAACGCUGAGGAGCCAAUGAAGGGGGACGUCUUUUAACUCCAUAAUAGCAGGUUACAUAGUAAAUGAACACUGAUGGUCAAAUAGCCAAUUAUGGUAUAAAUAUCCGUUGUUUACAGAGAGGUGUUAAAUGAGCCUUUAGAGCACAAAGGAUCAGACUGUCUAAGCUACAAUUUGUACUUCAUCCCAUUAUGUCUUCCCUUAAAAAGGCCAAUGCCAUGGUAGGUAAUGUGCUCACAGAACAUACUUCUCUCUGUUGAUUUUAGUUUGCUUUAUUUCAAUGCACACUGUUGUUUACUUUUUAAAAUUUAAAUAAAUGUCAGCAUUGUAUAAUUUCUAUGUUAACAAAGCAGUGAGCAAAAUCCCUUGUAUGUUUAUAAAAUAUUAUUGUUUAAUUCACAUAGUUUAGAAAUUCCAAAUGUUGAGAAUAGGAAGGAGGCCAAAUACCAUCUGUUUAUAACUAUGAUGCAUCGUAAUAUGUGUACUUUUAAAAGGAGUUUGGUCAAUCAUGCCACUAUUUUAUCUGCUUAGAAUAUGCUGAAGAUUUAAAAUGUAAUUUACAGGAUUACUCUUAGUACAUUGCAUCCAACUGUGACUAGAAGAGAAAUCAGUCUUUUCCUUUCUAUUUUUCUUAAAUUAAUCAUGUAGCAGCCCCAAUUAAUGGUUCUGUUAAUUGUGUCACUUUUUGCCUAGCUUCAGGAUUCUUCUAACUUUGGCUCAGUCUGACUCCUCAAUUCUGAUAAAAAUUCCAAGGACAUAUAAAACAAAACAUUCCUAACUGUGUCUUUUUGCCAGGAGAUAGUCACUUAGAAUGGGAGGCAUGGUAUAGUAGCUAAUAAUUAGCCAGCAUCAGCACUGAGAAAUUACCUGUGAAAUUUCCAUUGGUAAUGAGUUGAAAAAUAAC
Molecule: long non-coding RNA, 1196 nt
Filed under: Sarcophilus harrisii (Tasmanian devil)
Lineage: Eukaryota; Metazoa; Chordata; Mammalia; Dasyuromorphia; Dasyuridae
Description: lncRNA (ENSSHAG00000030983.1)
Source: RNAcentral